Molecule: ribosomal RNA, 396 nt
Filed under: uncultured bacterium
Lineage: Bacteria
Description: bacterial SSU rRNA
Rfam family: Bacterial small subunit ribosomal RNA
Source: RNAcentral
AUUGAACGCUGGCGGCGUGCCUAACACAUGCAAGUCGAGCGGCAGCGCGGGAGCAAUCCUGGCGGCGAGCGGCGAACGGGUGAGUAAUGCUUCGGAAUCUGCCCAUGUAGUGGGGAAUAACCAGCCGAAAGGUUGGCUAAUACCGCAUACGACCUACGGGUGAAAGCAGGGGAUCGCAAGACCUUGCGCUAUUGGAUGAGCCGAAGUCGGAUUAGCUAGNGGUAGGGUAACGGCCUACCAAGGCGACGAUCCGUAGCUGGUCUGAGAGGACGACCAGCCACACUGGGACUGAGACACGGCCCAGACUCCUACGGGAGGCAGCAGUGGGGAAUAUUGGACAAUGGGGGCAACCCUGAUCCAGCGACGCCGCGUGUGUGAAGAAGGCCUGCGGGUUGU